AUGAAUGCCAGUUCGCCCCAUAUUUCUCGUAGCUGCGCCGGUGCUCUCCGGCAUCUGACGCGCAUCACGACGGUAUCAGCCGAGCCGCAUGUCCCUGUCCACGGGGCAGCGGCUUUUUUU
Molecule: non-coding RNA, 120 nt
Filed under: Burkholderia multivorans ATCC 17616
Lineage: Bacteria; Pseudomonadati; Pseudomonadota; Betaproteobacteria; Burkholderiales; Burkholderiaceae
Description: Burkholderia sRNA 2
Rfam family: Burkholderia sRNA 2
About the family: Upregulated in response to iron ion depletion. Predicted targets include MerR family transcriptional regulator.
Source: Rfam by way of RNAcentral